Molecule: non-coding RNA, 472 nt
Organism: Castor canadensis (American beaver)
Lineage: Eukaryota; Metazoa; Chordata; Mammalia; Rodentia; Castoridae
Source: the annotation of a RefSeq genome assembly
GGCAGGGGCAGCAAGAUGGUGUCACAGACCCAGGUCCUCAUGUCCCUGUUGCUCUGGGUGUCUGGUGCCUAUGGGGACAUCGUGAUGACCCAGUCUCCAGGCUCCCUGGCUGCAUCUGCAGGAGAGACGGUCACCAUCAACUGCAAGUCCAGUCAGAGCAUUAGCAGCUACUUAGCUUGGCACCAGCAGAAACAAGGACAGCCUCAUAGACUGCUGAUCUAUGCAGCCUCUAACCGGGCAACUGGGGUCCCUGACCGCUUCAGUGGCAGUGGGUCUGGCACAGAUUUCACUCUCACCAUCAGCAGCCUCCAGGCUGAAGAUGUGGCAGAUUACUACUGUCAGCAGUAUUAUAGCUCUCCACCCACAGUGCUUCAGUCUUAAUCAAAAACCUCCUUCCUAUGCCCUGGGUCAGUGAUCCUUGCUGUACCAGCUACUUCCUCCUCACAUUUGUGGUUUGGACUGAUUGCUUAGC